UAAAAAUCAAUGACGGGGAGGAGUAACUUAAGGAUUCCCUUAAGCGAGCAAGGGUUGGUGCGAGCCUUGUAGGGUUACUUAGGCCAAAAGAGCCCCCAAGAUGCAGCCUGAAAGCUUUUGCAAGUAUGGUGUGCCCCUUAUGGGUUAUUUAAUCGAGUGGGCUUUUUGCCAACAAGAGUGGUACCGCGGGUAUAGCCGUCUCUUUU
This 206-nucleotide non-coding RNA is filed under the name Caloramator mitchellensis. RNAcentral's name for it is "T-box sequence". It matches the Rfam family "T-box leader". Rfam says of the family: Uncharged tRNA acts as the effector for transcription antitermination of genes in the T-box leader family. T-boxes are found upstream of many aminoacyl-tRNA synthetase genes and some amino acid biosynthetic genes usually in Gram-positive bacteria. Lineage: Bacteria; Bacillati; Bacillota; Clostridia; Eubacteriales; Clostridiaceae. The record is from RNAcentral.